AGAGUUUGAUCAUGGCUCAGAACGUACGCUGGCGGCACGCCUUAUACAUGCAAGUCGAACGAAGUAGCAAUACUUAGUGGCAGACGGGUGAGUAACAUGUAGGUAUCUUCCCUUUGGUGAGGAAUAACACGAGGAAACUUGUGCUAAUACCUCAUAAGUCUUUACGGAGAAAGCUUUAUGCGCCAAAGGAUGAGCCUGCAUUUGAUUAGUUUGUUGGUGGGGUAAUGGCCUACCAAGACUUUGAUCAAUAGCUGAUCUGAGAGGAUGAUCAGCCACAUUGGGACUGAGACACGGCCCAAACUCCUACGGGAGGCAGCAGUAGGGAAUAUUGCACAAUGGAGGAAACUCUGAUGCAGCGAUGCCGCGUGAGUGAAGAAGGCCCUUGGGUUGUAAAGCUCUUUCGUCGGGGAAGAAAAUGACUGUACCCGAAUAAGAAGGUCCGGCUAACUUCGUGCCAGCAGCCGCGGUAAUACGAAGGGACCUAGCGUAGUUCGGAAUUACUGGGCUUAAAGAGUUCGUAGGUGGUUAAAAAAGUUGGUGGUGAAAUCCCAGAGCUUAACUCUGGAACUGCCAUCAAAACUUUUUAGCUAGAGUAUGAUAGAGGAAAGCAGAAUUUCUAGUGUAGAGGUGAAAUUCGUAGAUAUUAGAAAGAAUACCAAUUGCGAAGGCAGCUUUCUGGAUCAUUACUGACACUGAGGAACGAAAGCAUGGGUAGCGAAGAGGAUUAGAUACCCUCGUAGUCCAUGCCGUAAACGAUGUGUGUUAGACGUUGGAAAUUUAUU
This 782-nucleotide ribosomal RNA is filed under the name marine metagenome. RNAcentral describes it as "bacterial SSU rRNA". It matches the Rfam family "Bacterial small subunit ribosomal RNA", at positions 8 to 835 of the family's 1533-position model. The record is from RNAcentral.